RNAcentral lists this unclassified non-coding RNA (631 nucleotides) under Centaurea tentudaica. RNAcentral describes it as "partial external transcribed spacer". The record is from RNAcentral. Lineage: Eukaryota; Viridiplantae; Streptophyta; Magnoliopsida; Asterales; Asteraceae.
UGCCCCUCACUUGCCAAUACGUCUAGAUCAGCCAGGGCGUCGGCAUGUGUAGCGUAUUAUGUUGGCCUCUCUCGAGAUAAGGAUACGAUGUCCCUUUAUCGGUUGGUUUCCUGUGUGUGCGGCCCGUUCGUUUUUUUGUUACUUUCGCAUCGUUCGGUGCAUUCUGGGGGUUGUGUUGGCUUUUGGUGGCUUGCUUGGCCUUUUGGCUUUGCUUGUUGCUACUUGUCGGGCUGCUUUCGGGAAUGUCGACCGUGGAGGUGCAUGAGUGGUGUUUGGUUUGUUACGUGUGGAUGGCUGUUUGCUUGUGCAACAACGUUCACGCUGCAUACCUCUUCAGUUUUGCGGCAAGGCUUGGUUUGGCUUGUGCAUAUUGUGGGUUUCCUGUGUUGCAUACCUAGUUGAUGGAAAAGUGUGGGUUUUACGAUUUUCAUUUUCGUCUUGCGUCGUUCUUUUGGCGUGGGAUGAACAAUGAAGCGAUCUUUAUGAUCCAUCGUGCUGUUGUGUUUGCAACAAUGAUGUGGCCUAUGAAGCAUCGUUUGGUCUCUUGUAUACGGAAGCUCAUUUGGGCUUGGGUCUUUAUAAGAUCUUCGUUACGCCCUUGUUAAGCGUUCUCGCUUCUCCUAAACGAUUG